RNAcentral lists this ribosomal RNA (327 nucleotides) under uncultured eukaryote. RNAcentral describes it as "partial 18S ribosomal RNA". It matches the Rfam family "Eukaryotic small subunit ribosomal RNA", at positions 1470 to 1796 of the family's 1831-position model. The record is from RNAcentral.
CCCCUAGAUGUUCUGGGCCGCACGCGCGCUACACUGAACAGUUCAACAAGUCUUAACCUUGGCCGAUAGGUCUGGGUAAUCUUUGAACGCUGUUCGUGAUUGGGAUAGACCUUUGCAAUUAUGGGUCUUCAACGAGGAAUUCCUAGUAAACGCAAGUCAUCAGCUUGCAUUGAUUACGUCCCUGCCCUUUGUACACACCGCCCGUCGCACCUACCGAUUGAACGUUUUAGUGAGGUACUCGGACUGAGCCUCAGAAGAUUCACGUCUUUUGUGCUGCUCGGGAAGAUUCCCAAACUUGNGNGUUUAUNGGAAGUAAAANUCGUANCA